GCCUUCUUGUUAGCCGGCUCUUCCCUGUUCUCGUCGUUUUCGUUGUCGGAAUGGCGAGAGCUUAGAUGACCGAUGUAACCUUUACGGGAUUUGAAGUAAGCGUUACAGCUGUGGCACUUGAACAGUGGCGCCGGCUGGGUGACCUGGGUGGAGACGUGGAGUUUGUACUUGUGCCUGUACCAACGGGUUCGAGACGGUAGCACUUCGCCGCACCACUUGCAGACUACGGAACCGUCGUUUUGAAUGAGGUGUCAACCGAGAUAAACGGAGUGGAAACAAAAUCCGCUUCACCGUGGCCAAUUACACGGAGGAAUUGCGGUUCAACGAACUCCGAAAGAAGAGCAAACGCUAAUGAAAACCGGAGGGUAAAACUGGAUAAGAGACGGUGAAGGAACGCUCUUCACGGUUUUUUUCUUGGGCUGCUUUCCAUUCGGACGACACAGUUUUCAUGCGAAAGUGAUCCUCUUACUUUUCCUACUAUACGAAGUACUCUCGACUCGAGUCGAAUUAUAGAAAUCGAUCGAUCAUUUAUAUCGAUAUAUUUACUGUUCACUGGUGGAAAAAAAUCUGGCGAAAGGAAUGCGAAUUAAUGAUUGAUUAAUAUGGGAGGAAACAUCUAUUUUUCACGCGUAUUUUUCUUUCUACUAUGGUGUUUGUCGCGUAUAUUAAUUCAAAAUAACGAUUUCAAUGCAUUAACGUAGACAUAGAAUCAAAAGAAUUUUAAUGUAUCGAUAUAAUAUAAAAAUUUUUUUAU
Molecule: long non-coding RNA, 754 nt
Organism: Apis dorsata (giant honeybee)
Lineage: Eukaryota; Metazoa; Arthropoda; Insecta; Hymenoptera; Apidae
Exons: 2
Source: RefSeq, a predicted model, not a curated record